Macadamia integrifolia is the source of this 419-nucleotide long non-coding RNA. RefSeq lists it as uncharacterized. The transcript has 2 exons. The record is from RefSeq and is a predicted model, not a curated record. NCBI's taxonomy places the organism in Eukaryota, Viridiplantae, Streptophyta, Magnoliopsida, Proteales, Proteaceae.
GAGGGUGAGGAUUGGGACCGAAAGGUUGGCCAACAGGGAGGUCAAGGGGAAUAUUGACGGAGGUAGGGGAGGAGCCGACGACAAUGGCCGCCGGAGAGAAAGGGAGCAUGAGGAGGAAAUAUGGAGAAUGUGUAGAGUGUAUCUACAUGCAGGAAGUGUCCCCGUAUAAACAAGCCCUAUUUGCUCGUGUGGUUUUUAGAUCAUAUGCAACCAUAGCAUUUAUCCUUGAAGGUAUGGACGAUGAUGAAUGAGUGAAGUUAAAGAUAAAUGGCAAGCAUGCAUGGGCAAGGAAAUACGUCCCCAAGAGAGGGUAAAUUAGUGCCAUAUCAAUGCAUGAGAAGUGGCUUAGUAUCUUAGUUAUUACUUGAACAUUUUAAUGCAAUUCUUAGCCUCAAACAUAUGGGAAUAGUGUUCUGACA